AGAGAUCCUGGAAACAAGGCUAUGAAUGCAGUAGGAGAGAAAAGCAUCAAUAACAACACAAUGUGGAAUGUGUUAUCUACUCAGCCAGUAUUGAAUGAGGACACCAUCUACACUGCCUUGAUGUGUGCUGCUAGGCCAGAGAUCUACAGUUCACGUCUGAGGAAACUCCCUGAUAAUUAACACUCUAUGUAUUUUUAAGACUCCGUUAAAAGCCUACCUCUUUAAUCAGCGAUAAAUCAAAGUUUAUUUUGCUUAUUUUUGAUACAUUAUUCCUCAUAUAAUUUGUCAUGUCAUUCCUCCCAGCAUUUUUAUUAAAUUCUUUGUAGUUUUUCAUCUUGCAUUUCAUAUUUUUGCUUUACCGGUAUUCACUUGGUGUAGGCUUAUAUAAUCUAUGUUUUGUAUUUUUUAAACCCCAUAUCUUAAUCGAGUGAAAUUGAGUGAGAUGUAGAAAUAUAUUUCACGAACUCACUCUUUGCCAAUCAAUUUACACAAAUUCAUAGUUCAGAAUCUAACUUGCCAUUGAUUACAAAUGUUUAUGAAAUGGGGUCCAGAGUGUAUUAAGCGUACAUAUUUAAAUGUCGACACUUUAUUGUCAUGUUAAACAAUCGUACUACAACAAUUUUACAUGUUUGGUGGUAGGUUUUUUAUGAAGCAGAUUUACUUGUUUGUCAGAGUGAUUGGAUGUUGGGAGAAUUGGUUUCUAGAGUAAGACUUGUUUUAAAAAUGCAGAUCGAAAAGCCCUGUUCAUAUCCAUAUAUUGAAGGGUCUUUCGUUUUGUUCAUUUUCAUAAUUUAGAUUUUAUUUCCAUAAAUCUUUGAAGUUGCAAAACUGCUAUAACUACCUGAUUGAUUACUGAGGUGAACAACCAUUGUAUAUAUAAUAACUGGAUUUAUAAAGCGCUUUCGCCCAAGGAUACAAAGUGAUGCUAUUGUUACCCCAGCUUUAGCUGCACUGCCUAUAUAGGCGCUCAAGCAUUCAAGGAAUUUCUUCCUACCGGGUACCCAUUCACCUCUUCUGGGUUGAGUGCAGCACAAUGUGGUUGAAUUUCUUGCUGAAGGAAAACACUGUGGCAGGUAAUCAAACCCACGUUCCUCCGAUUGAAAGACAAGUGUUAUAACCGCUAGACUCCGACGUCCCCAGGUAUGACAAGUAUGAAGUGAAUAGCAAGUACUAGUAUUCUCAAUUGAUAUGCUAGGUGAAAUAAGGUACAUAAAACAGAAAUGUGGAGGAAACCUUAGAAAGGAAUAUGCUUAUAGAUGUAUAUAGGUUCCUUUCAAAUUAUUUUCAAUAAUGCACUUAACAACAUUCAAUUCCAAUGUAUAGUCAGCUGUGGUGGUUUUGGUGUAAUUGAUCAUGAGGUUUUACAGGUGUAUGAGUUUGUUGUUCUAAAUGAGAUGAUUAUUAUUAUAUUUCAUGCAGAAAGCCAUCUCUUUUAUUCGCUAAAAUAUAAAAUACGAAGUUAACUCUGUGAUUUUCAUUGAAUGUAUCAGUACUAAAUUUACAACUUUUCAUUCUAUACUCAGUGAUAUGCAAUCUUUUGUAACUUGUAGGCUGUAUGUAGAAAAUAUGACUAAUUAUACUUGUGUUUAUUGCGAAUAUGUAGAUUACAACUGAUUUGUGUUUUCAUUGUUGAUCAAUCAUUCAUUGUUCAUAGAGAAUUAAAGCAUUUCAUACCACAUGCACCAUUAGUUCAUUAUCAUGAAAGGCCAGCUUUUCCUGAUGGAUUCUAGUCAGCGCUGCGCCUGAAAAUUUAAGCAUUAAAGAAAUAUUUAACUGAAAAAUGAAUCACAAGCAUUGGGCAGAAUAAGGAUUAAUCAGUAGAGCUGGCAGUAAGAGCUCAGGGUUACUGUCAAAUGCUGAGGUCUGCACUUCUCAUAUGGGUCCUGUAGGAUAUCUGUGACCCUAGCCUAGACAUUAGGAGUAUACCUGUUUUUGUUCUUCUGAAAUAAGCAAAUUUUCUCAUUUGGAAUCAAAUUUUUGUGCAAUUAUUUGUUAAAAGAGCGCAAUGCAACGAUUGUCUGCUGGAAUAUAUUUGUAAGAAAAAUCAUUUUAUAUAUUUGUAUAGAGUGAAUGUAAUGUGAUGUGUUGUUCAUCCUGAUGGUUUGACAACCAAUUUCAUUUUUAUGAAAUAAUUAUUGAGAAUGUGGUAUCUUUUGAAGCUCUUUCAUACUUGCCUUUUAUGUGAUUGGAAUAUAUUUUCUUUUAUUUCAUUUACUUUUAUUAAUUUUGUUUUAAUCAUUGAAGUCAUUGUAUUCCAUAAAUUAUAUGUAUGGCAGCUCCUUUUACAGAAGAAGGAACAACAAUUUCUUUGAAAAAGAUAUUUCAAAUCAGCAACUGCAUUGUAAAAACAUUUGAAAAAAGGCUGUAAUUAUACCAUGUUGAGAGAAAAAAAAAAGAGUUCAGUUUUAAAUUCAUUUUUUUUCUGAUCCAUGUGAAAUAUCGAUGAUGGUGUAAUACUGCAAAGUAACUGCCAAUCGAUUGUCAAAAAAAAAAUUAUCUUGAAAGUAAAUAUUCUUGUAUUAUUGUUCCAAUGUUUGAUGUAUAAUACUUCUAAGUACCGGUACAUGUUUUUUUUCUUCUUUUUAAUCAUAAAAUGUACAUGAUUAUUUGGUGAGUGUACAUAAUUGUUAUAUCUAUAGAAAUUCACAAAAAUGUCAACCUACUUUUAACUGCACAAAUUGUUAUACCAGGUAUAUCUAUGCACAGUUGUACUAUCAAAUUUCUAUUCUUCAAAACGAUGUUCAUAUUACUACUCUUUAUAUUCACGUCCAAUAUGAUUUUCUUACUGCACAGGGUUGAUUAAUAUAUUAAUUGUAUAAUGAGAAUAUAUUAAUAUUAUAUCUGUUUGUAUUCCUUUCAGCUCUUUCAUCACACAACUCAUUUAUUAUCAAAUCUCUAUCGCUUAUCAUUCCACUCUAAAUGUAUGCACAAAACUGUGACUUGAUGUACGUUUUGUUUGUAUCUCUAUAUUACAAUCAUGCAAUGAUGGUAACAAAUAAAAUCAUUUAUUUGCAAAACA
This is a long non-coding RNA of Lytechinus pictus (painted urchin), 3019 nucleotides long. RefSeq lists it as uncharacterized. The record is from RefSeq and is a predicted model, not a curated record. NCBI's taxonomy places the organism in Eukaryota, Metazoa, Echinodermata, Echinoidea, Temnopleuroida, Toxopneustidae. The transcript has 2 exons.